CCUACGGGUGGCAGCAGUGAGGAAUAUUGGUCAAUGGGCGCGAGCCUGACCCAGCCAAGUAGCGUGAAGGAUGACUGCCCUACGGUUUGUAAACUUCUUUUAUAAAGGAGUAAAGUGAGGCACUUGUGCCUUUUUGUAUGUACUUUAUGUAUAAGGAUCGGCUAACUCCGUGCCAGCAGCCGCGGUAAUACGGCGGAUCCGAGCGUUAUCCGGGUUUAUUGGGUUUAAAGGGAGCGUAGAUGGGUUGUUAAGUCAGUUGUGAAAGUUUGCGGCUCAACCGUAAAAUUGCAAUUGAUACUGGCAGUCUGGAGUACAGUAGAGGCAGGCGGAAUUCGUGGUGUAGCGGUGAAAUGCUUAGAUAUCACGAAGAACUCCGAUUGCGAAGGCAGCUUACUAAACUGCAACUGACAUUGAGGCUCGAAAGUGUGGGUAUCAAACAGGAUUAGAUACCCCUGUAGUC
RNAcentral lists this ribosomal RNA (460 nucleotides) under uncultured bacterium. RNAcentral's name for it is "partial 16S ribosomal RNA". It matches the Rfam family "Bacterial small subunit ribosomal RNA", at positions 338 to 795 of the family's 1533-position model. The record is from RNAcentral.